This is a long non-coding RNA of Xyrauchen texanus (razorback sucker), 619 nucleotides long. RefSeq lists it as uncharacterized. The record is from RefSeq and is a predicted model, not a curated record. Lineage: Eukaryota; Metazoa; Chordata; Actinopteri; Cypriniformes; Catostomidae. The transcript is spliced from 3 exons.
CCCUAGCAACCGAGUAACAAAUCACAUAUCUCUGCACCAGAAAAUAGUACUGACUUCCGGGUUGAUUUAUUUCACUCAGGAUGGCAAGGACACUUCAUUACUAUCACUAUGGUAACUGCCUAGCAACCAGAUGGGGUUACCCUAGCAACCGAGUAACAAAUCACAUAUCUCUGCAUCAGAAAAACGUAGAGACUUCCGGGUUGACUUAUUUCAAUCAGGAUGGCAAGGACACUUGAUUACUAUCACUAUGAUUACUGCCUAGCAACCAGAUGGGGUUACCCUAGCAACCGAGUAACAAAUCACAUAUCUCUGCACCAGAAAAUAGUACUGACUUCCGGGUUGAUUUAUUUCACUCAGGAUGGCAAGGACACUUCAUUACUAUCACUAUGGUAACUGCCUAGCAACCAGAUGGGGUUACCCUAGCAACCGAGUAACAAAUCACAUAUCUCUGCAUCAGAAAAACGUAGAGACUUCCGGGUUGACUUAUUUCAAUCAGGAUGGCAAGGACACUUGAUUACUAUCACUAUGAUUACUGCCUAGCAACCAGAUGGGGUUACCCUAGCAACCGAGUAACAAAUCACAUAUCUCUGCACCAGAAAAUAGUACUGACUUCCGGGUU